RNAcentral lists this non-coding RNA (266 nucleotides) under Paenibacillus sp. Its description in RNAcentral is "T-box sequence". It matches the Rfam family "T-box leader". Rfam says of the family: Uncharged tRNA acts as the effector for transcription antitermination of genes in the T-box leader family. T-boxes are found upstream of many aminoacyl-tRNA synthetase genes and some amino acid biosynthetic genes usually in Gram-positive bacteria. Lineage: Bacteria; Bacillati; Bacillota; Bacilli; Caryophanales; Paenibacillaceae. The record is from RNAcentral.
ACAAAAGCUAAGAAGAGAAAGAGUACCUUGGCCAAUCUUUCACAGAGAGCUCCAGCCGCUGAAAAGGAGCAAAGAAAAUCCAAGGGAAUAUGGUCUCUGAGCUGCGCAUCGAACCCCUCCAGGAGGGUUGUAGGCUGCGCCGGAACCCGCAUCCGUUAUCGUGCUAGGGUAUACCCGCGAACAGCGGACGUACCUGAAGAGGUGAAUGCCGCAAGGCAUUGAUGAAGUUGGGUGGUAACACGUGAGCACAGGCUCUCGUCCCUUUU